This is a long non-coding RNA of Acanthopagrus latus (yellowfin seabream), 434 nucleotides long. RefSeq lists it as uncharacterized. NCBI's taxonomy places the organism in Eukaryota, Metazoa, Chordata, Actinopteri, Spariformes, Sparidae. The record is from RefSeq and is a predicted model, not a curated record. The transcript has 3 exons.
GUCUCUCAGUGAACGCAGCCGAACACCAGACUGGGACGGAGGGUCGGUUUGACGAACGGUGAUACAGUGUGGAUGUGUUGAGCUGGAAUUUUCUAACUCGGUGAAUUGGGAAUUAUUGGACCAAACCAAAUGUGGCUGUAGGAACGGUAGAGGGUUUUGCUCUCUACAGGUUCUCUGGAUAAGUAAACUCAACAAACCGACGGGAUUGGACAGGACUAGAUGGCUAGCGUGCUAACGUUGGUACAAGCCAAAGCAGUCAGACCUUAACGAGAGAGCAAGGAUACAGCGGUCAGAGCGUCUGUUGAGACCAUCGCCUCGGUCCACACUCAGAGCCUGAAAAGAUCCUCGCAGUCAAAGUGGAAGCUUGGCAGCUCAGACGCCAUGAUGUCACGAACACCUCAUCAUCUCGGUUAUGUAAAAACCAAUAAAUCCCU